UCGAUUUGGAGUUUGUUGCCCUGAGUGAUGGGCUCCGAAGCUAACGCGAUAAAUCGACCGCCUGGGGAGUACGGUCGCAAGGUUAAAACUCAAAUGAAUUGACGGGGGCCCGCACAAGCGGUGGAGCAUGUGGUUUAAUUCGAUGCAACGCGAAGAACCUUACCUGGUCUUGACAUCCACAGAAUCUUGCAGAGAUGCGAGGGUGCCUUCGGGAACUGUGAGACAGGUGCUGCAUGGCUGUCGUCAGCUCGUGUUGUGAAAUGUUGGGUUAAGUCCCGCAACGAGCGCAACCCUUAUCCUUUGUUGCCAUUGGUUCGGCCGGGAACUCAAAGGAGACUGCCGUUGAUAAAGCGGAGGAAGGUGGGGACGACGUCAAGUCAUCAUGGCCCUUACGACCAGGGCUACACACGUGCUACAAUGGCGUAUACAAAGGGAGGCGACCUCGCGAGAGCAAGCGGACCUCAUAAAGUACGUCUAAGUCCGGAUUGGAGUCUGCAACUCGACUCCAUGAAGUCGGAAUCGCUAGUAAUCGUGAAUCAGAAUGUCACGGUGAAUACGUUCCCGGGCCU
RNAcentral lists this ribosomal RNA (569 nucleotides) under uncultured Gammaproteobacteria bacterium. RNAcentral describes it as "bacterial SSU rRNA". It matches the Rfam family "Bacterial small subunit ribosomal RNA", at positions 812 to 1381 of the family's 1533-position model. The record is from RNAcentral. Lineage: Bacteria; Pseudomonadati; Pseudomonadota; Gammaproteobacteria.